GAAAAUGCAUGGAUGGGGAAAUGUUGGAUGGAAUUGCCCGUUUCAGAGAGUCGCCGGCUGCUGGAAGGCGAUACGGACGCCAUGACAAUCUCACCCCUGAGCAGCUUUCCUGAACAUGCCGCUGGCGGAUAUAACAUCUGCGGUGUUUAUAGGGAAAGACGGUUUCUUACCGUUAAAAAAGAUGCUGUUAAAGAGACCAUACGGCCUGAGACAGCAAAAAAGAGGCUGUGUUUAUAUAAACAUGGCAAGGCAGGGUGGUACCGCGGAAUUAUUUCGUCUCUGCA
Molecule: non-coding RNA, 284 nt
Filed under: [Clostridium] symbiosum
Lineage: Bacteria; Bacillati; Bacillota; Clostridia; Lachnospirales; Lachnospiraceae
Description: Clostridium symbiosum T-box sequence
Rfam family: T-box leader
About the family: Uncharged tRNA acts as the effector for transcription antitermination of genes in the T-box leader family.
Source: RNAcentral